This 406-nucleotide ribosomal RNA is filed under the name uncultured bacterium. Its description in RNAcentral is "partial 16S ribosomal RNA". It matches the Rfam family "Bacterial small subunit ribosomal RNA", at positions 30 to 526 of the family's 1533-position model. The record is from RNAcentral.
AUUGAACGCUGGCGGCAGGCCUAACACAUGCAAGUCGAGCGAUCGUCGGACGGGUGAGUAAUGUCUGGGAAACUGCCUGAUGGAGGGGGAUAACUCCUGGAAACGGUAUCUAAUACCGCAUACCAUCAGAUGUGCCACGAGGGGCUUAUCUAGUAGGUGAGGUAACUGCUCACCUAGGCGACGAUCCCUAUCUGGUCUGAGAGGAUGACCAGCCACACUGGAACUGAGACACGGUCCAGACUCCUACGGGAGGCAGCAGUGGGGAAUAUUGAACAAUGGGAGCAAGCCUGAUGCAGCCAUGCCGCGUGUGUGAAGAAGGCCUUCGGGUUGUAAAGAACUUUCAGCGGGGAGGCGUUACCCGCAGAAGAAGCACCGGCUAACUCCGUGCCAGCAGCCGCGGUAAUAC